RNAcentral lists this ribosomal RNA (616 nucleotides) under uncultured organism. Its description in RNAcentral is "bacterial SSU rRNA". It matches the Rfam family "Bacterial small subunit ribosomal RNA", at positions 200 to 833 of the family's 1533-position model. The record is from RNAcentral.
GGUAAAGCUUUUGCGGUUUGGGAUGGGCCUGCGUCCUAUCAGGUAGUUGGUGAGGUAAGUGCUCACCAAGCCUAUGACGGGUAGCUGGUCUGAGAGGAUGGUCAGCCAGACUGGGACUGCGACACGGCCCAGACUCCUACGGGAGGCAGCAACUAGGAAUUGUGCGCAAUGGACGAAAGUCUGACGCCGCGACAUCGCGUGGAGGAUGAAGGUCUUCGGAUUGUAAACUCCUUUUCUUACCGAACAAGUUCUGAGUGUAGGUAAGGAAUAAGUGCCUGCUAACCACGUGCCAGAAGCAUCGGUAAUACGUGGGGCACGAGCGUUAUCCGGAUUUACUGGGCGUAAAGAGAAGCGUAGGCGGCUCGAUAAGUUUGGUGUUAAAUCUUCCGGCUCAACCGGAAACAAGUACCGAAAACUAUCGAGAUUGAGUCGAGUAGGGAAGAGGGGAAUUCCUGGUGGAGCGGUUAAAUGCGUAGAUAUCAGGAGGAAUACCAAGGGCGAAGGCACCUCUUUGGACUCGUACUGACGCUGAGGCUCGAAAGCGUGGGUAGCAAAACGGAUUAGAUACCCGUGUAGUCCACGCCGUAAACGAUCCCUGUUAGAUGUAUGUUUUGUC